Molecule: non-coding RNA, 136 nt
Organism: Prunus avium (sweet cherry)
Lineage: Eukaryota; Viridiplantae; Streptophyta; Magnoliopsida; Rosales; Rosaceae
Source: RefSeq, a predicted model, not a curated record
GUCGUCAACGUCACAGCCGUUCUUCUCGUCGUCGGCGCCUCUGUCUGGUGAGGCUCUGCAAUUGGUAAUAUCCGAAUGCAAACUGAAAGCUAAGAUUGUGGACCUUUGUGAGAAAGGUGAUUCAUACAUUAGAGAG